UAUGUUCUUUCAGAGUUUCAUUGGAGGGCAGUCUGGUGCCAGCAGCCGCGGUAAUUCCAGCUCCAAUAGCGUAUAUUAAAAUUGUUGCAGUUAAAAAGCUCGUAGUUGAAUUUCUGCUGCAUCGUCGCAUCUCUUGCUGAGUGCUUCGUUUCGGCUUAUUUCGGAUUGAUUUUUUCUUUCCGGAUGAUUACUUUGAGAAAAUUAGAGUGCUCAAAGCAGGCUUUUGCCUUGAAUAGUUUAGCAUGGAAUAAUAAAGUAGGACUUUGGUUCUAUUUUGUUGGUUUUAGGUACCAAAGUAAUGGUUAAUAGGAACAGUUGGGGGCAUUCGUAUUUAACUGUCAGAGGUGAAAUUCUUAGAUUUGUUAAAGACGAACUACUGCGAAAGCAUUUGCCAAGGAUGUUUUCAUUAAUCAAGAACGAAAGUUAGGGGAUCGAAGACGAUCAGAUACCGUCGUAGUCCUA
This 462-nucleotide ribosomal RNA is filed under the name Theileria sinensis. RNAcentral describes it as "SSU rRNA". It matches the Rfam family "Eukaryotic small subunit ribosomal RNA", at positions 528 to 1028 of the family's 1831-position model. Lineage: Eukaryota; Apicomplexa; Aconoidasida; Piroplasmida; Theileriidae. The record is from RNAcentral.